Molecule: ribosomal RNA, 492 nt
Filed under: uncultured bacterium
Lineage: Bacteria
Description: partial 16S ribosomal RNA
Rfam family: Bacterial small subunit ribosomal RNA
Source: RNAcentral
AUUGAACGCUGGCGGCAUGCUUUACACAUGCAAGUCGAACGGUAACAGGCCUUCGGGUGCUGACGAGUGGCGAACGGGUGAGUAAUGCAUCGGAACGUGCCCAGAGGUGGGGGAUAACGCAGCGAAAGCUGUGCUAAUACCGCAUGUGAUCUGAGGAUGAAAGCGGGGGACCAAGCAGCAAUGUUUGGCCUCGCGCCUCUGGAGCGGCCGAUGUCAGAUUAGGUAGUUGGUGGGGUAAAGGCCUACCAAGCCGACGAUCGGGAGCUGGUCUGAGAGGACGACCAGCCACACUGGGACUGAGACACGGCCCAGACUCCUACGGGAGGCAGCAGUGGGGAAUUUUGGACAAUGGGCGCAAGCCUGAUCCAGCAAUGCCGCGUGCGGGAAGAAGGCCUUCGGGUUGUAAACCGCUUUUGUACGGAACGAAAAGGCUCUGGCUAAUACCUGGGGCUGAUGACGGUACCGUAAGAAUAAGCACCGGCUAACUACGUG